UCCGAGGGUCUCCCAAUGUGAUGUGCAC
This 28-nucleotide non-coding RNA is filed under the name Mus musculus (house mouse). Lineage: Eukaryota; Metazoa; Chordata; Mammalia; Rodentia; Muridae. The record is from RNAcentral.